AUGCUGAAUUAUUUCCGGAUAGGACAGAGGUGCAAUGUUUACAUCCAUGGCAGAAGGUUCUUUUUCAAAGGUCCUUGGACUCAAGAGGAAGAUGACAAAAUUAUCGACCUUGUAAACAAGUACUCCCUCCGUUCCAAAAUUGGGUAUUCUUUUGAUAUAACUAACAAAAUAGUCUCAUUGCAAGGCCAGCUACCAGAACUUCCUGUUGAUGAUCCUGGGAUGUUUACGAACAUGCUCCCGAACAUGUUCAAUUUAUCCGCCCUAGUACAGAAUGAACCGACCUGUGAUCUAUCACGCUUCUUUAUUAUUCAAUGUUUUGUUAUUACUUUCUAA
Molecule: ribosomal RNA, 333 nt
Filed under: Triticum aestivum (bread wheat)
Lineage: Eukaryota; Viridiplantae; Streptophyta; Magnoliopsida; Poales; Poaceae
Description: partial small subunit ribosomal RNA
Source: RNAcentral